UGAGACUCUGUCUCCAAAAAAAAAAAAAGGAAUGACAUGGAGACAAUUAGCCUGGCCCCUAUGCAAGGAUGAUACACAAAUUUGUGAAGCAUUCAAUAUUUUU
This 103-nucleotide small nuclear RNA is filed under the name Microcebus murinus (gray mouse lemur). Lineage: Eukaryota; Metazoa; Chordata; Mammalia; Primates; Cheirogaleidae. The record is from RNAcentral.